Small nuclear RNA from Meriones unguiculatus (Mongolian gerbil), 107 nucleotides. Lineage: Eukaryota; Metazoa; Chordata; Mammalia; Rodentia; Muridae. The record is from Ensembl.
GUGUUUCUUUUGAUAACAGGUGUAUUAAAACUGGAACAAUGCACAGAAAAUUUGCAUAAUUCCUACAUACAGAUGACAUACAGAUUUGUGGAGCAUUCUAUUUGCUU